This 433-nucleotide ribosomal RNA is filed under the name uncultured bacterium. Its description in RNAcentral is "partial 16S ribosomal RNA". It matches the Rfam family "Bacterial small subunit ribosomal RNA", at positions 29 to 507 of the family's 1533-position model. The record is from RNAcentral.
AGCGAACGCUGGCGGCAUGCCUAACACAUGCAAGUCGAACGAACUCUUCGGAGUUAGUGGCGGACGGGUGAGUAACACGUGGGAACGUGCCUUUAGGUUCGGAAUAACUCAGGGAAACUUGUGCUAAUACCGAAUGUGCCCUUCGGGGGAAAGAUUUAUCGCCUUUAGAGCGGCCCGCGUCUGAUUAGCUAGUUGGUGAGGUAAAGGCUCACCAAGGCGACGAUCAGUAGCUGGUCUGAGAGGAUGAUCAGCCACAUUGGGACUGAGACACGGCCCAAACUCCUACGGGAGGCAGCAGUGGGGAAUCUUGCGCAAUGGGCGAAAGCCUGACGCAGCCAUGCCGCGUGAAUGAUGAAGGUCUUAGGAUUGUAAAAUUCUUUCACCGGGGACGAUAAUGACGGUACCCGGAGAAGAAGCCCCGGCUAACUUCGUG